RNAcentral lists this ribosomal RNA (497 nucleotides) under uncultured bacterium. RNAcentral's name for it is "partial 16S ribosomal RNA". It matches the Rfam family "Bacterial small subunit ribosomal RNA", at positions 28 to 507 of the family's 1533-position model. The record is from RNAcentral.
GAUGAACGCUGGCGGCGUGCCUAAUACAUGCAAGUCGAGCGAACGGACGAGAAGCUUGCUUUUCUGAUGUUAGCGGCGGACGGGUGAGUAACACGUGGAUACCCUACCUAUAAGACUGGGAUCACUUCGGGAAACCGGAGCUAAUACCGGAUAAUCUUUUGAACCGCAUGGUUCAAAAGUGAUAGACGGUCUUGCUGUCACUUAUAGAUGGAUCCGCGCUGCAUUAGCUAGUUGGUAAGGUAACGGCUUACCAAGGCAACGAUGCAUAGCCGACCUGAGAGGGUGAUCUGCCACACUGGAACUGAUACAAGGUCCAGACUCCUACGGGAGGCAGCAGUAGGGAAUCUUCCGCAAUGGGGGAAAGCCUGACGGAGCAACGCCGCGUGAGUGAUGAAGGUCUUCGGAUCGUAAAACUCUGUUAUUAGGAAAGAACAUAUGUGUAAGUAACUGUGCACAUCUUGACGGUACCUAAUCAGAAAGCCACGGCUAACUACGUG